Cyanistes caeruleus (blue tit) is the source of this 5442-nucleotide RNA transcript. It is a transcript of the gene named tRNA methyltransferase 2A, with no coding region annotated. The record is from RefSeq and is a predicted model, not a curated record. Lineage: Eukaryota; Metazoa; Chordata; Aves; Passeriformes; Paridae.
AUUUCUCUGCCGUCAUUCUCCCCGCAGCGGCCCGUCCGUGAGGCUACGGCCCCGCCCCGGGAGGUGUGCGGGGUGGCGGAGGGGCUGGCGGGACCAUGGCGGAGGAAGGUGAGCGCUGCGACCCCGACCGCGACACGGCUCCCGUGGCGGAGGCUGGAGAUGGGACUGAGCCGGACAGCCAGGCCGGGGAAGACCUCGCGGAUAGCCCCGACGUGUACAGAUACAUUAAGGGAGACUUGUUCACCUCCGAGAUCUAUAAAGUAGAGAUACAGAACCUGCCCAAAUACAUUGGGUUUAACGAUGUGAAAAAGUUCCUUGCCAAGUACGGGCUCAAUCCUCACAAGAUAAAACUUUUCGGAAAGCAGACGUUCGCUUUCGUGACGUUCAAGAGCGAGGAGGAGCGGGACAAGGCCAUGCGGGUGCUGCACGGCGCGCUCUGGAAGAGCCGCCACCUCAGCGUGCGCCUGGCCAAGCCCAAAGCCGACCCCAUCGCCAAGAAGAGGAAGCAAGAGGAGGAUUCGGAGCAGGGAGAGGCGAAGCGUCCGGCUCCCUGCGGAGAGGAGCCUCUGAGUAAGCGGAUCGCGGAUGUGGUGACCCCGCUGUGGAACGUGCCCUACGAGGAGCAGCUGGCCCAGAAGAAGCAGGAGUGCGAACAAGUGCUGCAGAAGUUAACAAAGGAAAUAGGAAAUAACAACAGAACUUUAUUACCGUGGUUGUUCCUGCAGAAACAGAAGUUUAAUAAAUUAUGUUGCCCAGUGGAGGGAGUGAAAGCAUCACCCUUACAGACUGAAUAUCGCAACAAAUGUGAGUUCUUGAUUGGGAUUGGUGUAAAUCAAGAAGACAAAACUGUGGGUUGUCGUCUUGGCAAAUAUAAGGGUGGUACAUGUGCUGUAGUGGAGCCAUUUGAUACUAUUCACAUUCCUGCUAUUGCCAAAAAAGUAGUAAAAGCUUUCCAAGACUACAUAAGGUCAACUCCUUACUCUGUGUACAGCCCCGAAACCUACGAAGGGCACUGGAAACAGCUCACGGUGCGCACCAGCCGCAACGGCCACAUCAUGGCAAUUGCUUAUUUCAAUCCUCAGAAAUUGAAUAAAGAAGAACUAGCUGACCUGAAAAUCUCUCUGGCAAAAUACUUCACAGAAGGGAUGGGAAAGAGUAGUGGUGUUACUUCCCUGUACUUUGUGGAGGAAGGACAAAGGAAAUCUCCCAAUCUAGAGGACUUGCCUUUGGAGCAUGUGGCUGGUGAUAAGUACAUAUAUGAAGAACUCCUCGGCUUAAAAUUUAGAAUUUCUCCUCAUGCAUUUUUUCAAGUGAACACACAAGCUGCAGAAGUGUUGUACACUGUCAUUGGGGAGUGGGCACAACUGAGCCAAGAGAGCACCGUGCUGGACAUCUGUUGUGGGACAGGAACCAUUGGGAUUUCUUUAGCAAAGCGAGUGAAGAAGGUAAUUGGAAUUGAGCUCUGCCAAGAAGCUGUUCAGGAUGCCAAAGCAAACGCCCAGAUUAAUGAGUUGAAUAAUAUUGAAUUUUAUUGUGGGAAGGCAGAAGAUAUUGUUCCUUCCCUAAUGAACAUUUUAGCUCCUCAGAACCUGAUCACAAUUGUAGAUCCACCACGAGCAGGGCUGCAUUCCAAGGUAAUUCUUGCCCUUCGAAGAGCUGAACACCUGAAGAAGCUCAUCUAUGUCUCCUGCAAUCCCAGAGCUGCAAUGGGUAACUUUGUGGACCUGUGCCGAGCCCCUUCCAACAGGGUGAAAGGAGCCUCUUUCCGGCCCGUGAGAGCCAUGGCUGUGGAUCUGUUCCCUCAGACCAGGCACUGUGAGUUACUGAUCUUCUUCGAGAGGGUGGAACAUGCUGACGGUUCUGCAGCUGCAGCACCUGCUGCCAGUGAGAUCACAGCAGCACCCCGUGGCACUGAGGGUGAGGAUGGCACCAGCCCAGCUGCCAGGGAGGGGAGCCAGGCAGCUGCUGGCCAUGGGGACUGCAGUCCAAGAGAGGGAUCACCUUAACUCCUGAGAGACUUGGCAGAAACUACUUUUCCUUUUUAACUGCGUCAGUAGCAUCUCUUCUGUAACGUGCAGAUUCCCAGAAGGGUUUGUGCUGGAAGGAACCUUAAUGAUCAUCUCAUAACCAGCCCUCUGCCAUGAACAGGGACACCUUCUACUCGACCAUGUUGCUCAGAGCCCCAUCCAGCCUAGUCUUGAACACUGUCAGGGACAGGAUGUUAUGUACUAUCAGGCCAAACCCUGCUUUUCUUUUCCUGCCUAGAUACAUACACAUACACCCAAUUCCCAGAGCAAAUCAUCUUACUGCAGGGACCUGGACCUACCUGUCAGUACUUCAUCAUGCUCUUCCCCCAUCAAAACUGCACCAUGAUUUUUCAGUAAACAAGUAAAGAUUAACCCUCCCAUAAAUCAUUUACCUGCUAAAUCUUCAUUAGGAAGUAACAAACUCAGUCUAAUAAAAAUGCUGCACAUUCCACAGUUGAAGCCAGUCUUAGACUGUAUCACUGUAUCAGUAUCACUGACAAGACAACAAAGGCUCUAAGUUUCUUAUACCAUACUACUGAAGCUGAGGUGCCUUUGCUUGAGGCAUGUCCUCACCAGUGAAAACUGACAGCCACAACUGAACUGUACCCACACCAGCACCUUAUGCUGCACUGCCAGUGUGUCUCCUGGGGGUGAAGACAAGCCAGGCUUGAGAGCUCCACAGGUGCUCUCCAGUCAGGACUCACUGCAGCCAGAGGCUCAGCAGCUGCCAUUAAUGGACUGUGAUCCACGCUACAGAACACACAGCAACACUGUUAGAAGGAGUGAUCAUCUUAAAUCUCAACCUGCUUCAAAUAUACAUUUAAUAUGGCCUAACAGCAAUAAAAAGAUUCUACAGCCCAUGGCUGUGCUGAUAGCACACCUUUCCAGUGUUUGGUACCUCCAUCCAACAGGUACCAAAACCAGCACUGGCUUGUACCACUUUUAACCUUGCCAGGGUUUUAAGUAAAAAUAAAAAUCCUAAUUCAAAGAAAGGUAACUUAAUUUCACUCCAAGUGUUUAACCAUGUAAACAUUCAAUUCCUCACCUAAAAGUGAUGCAGUAUUUCCAUAAGGAAGGAGGCUGCACUGAUCCAAUUUCUCUUCAGAAAUACCUAGAGGACUUGAAGAAUAAGAGUUCCUUUCUCUAGAUAUGCUUAAGGUAUCAUAAUACUGAUCACACUGGCACUUUUUAUAAUAUCAAACUUUAUUGCUCGAAACUAAUUGUCUGAAAAAUACACAUGAAGUACUCAAAGACUGAACACAGAGGAUUACAUGAUUGUGCAGAAAAAAAGCAAGCAGAGGCUCAGUGAAAAUGAGGCUUUAUAGUUGUACCAAUUUAGCACUGGCACCAAGCAACUGCACCCAACACAACUCAAACAGCAACCAUUGUUACCUGCUGGGGCAAUAAGGAUGAACUUUGUUUUGUUUUACCAUGUUCUCAGAUACACAUUGAAAUACUGUCAUUGAUAAUUUUAUUUGGUUAAUAACAGCAUGGCUUCUUGCAUUUCACAUUUCUUCCCACAGAAAGUUAGGAGGCUAUCACUUCCUGAAUCUCACUCCAGAACCAAAGUACAGUUUAGUGAAUUAAUAAGAUAGGUACGAUGCUUUUAAAUACUUGGAUGUUACAAGUAUAUUUGUAUAAAGCCUAACAGCAUCACAGGAGAAUGGAAGUUUACAUACAACAGUUAAUUUUAUGCAUAAUAGUCUUUCCAAAGUUCUGAGUACCCAACUAAUUCAUCAGUUUUGUCUAAUAAAUAUGUUAAAAAAAGCUGAUGACUGGUGUUUCAGUAGGUAGCAUCUGACUAGUCACUGGAAGUCACAGUAAGUUUUCCAUCAGUACCAUGAAGAUUUGAAUGCACACGAAUUUAAUCCUUAAUAUACCACACUUUUGUCGAGAAGCACAUAAUAUGCAAAGCAAAAACUGUCUAAUCCCCAAAGGAUGGAACAGUUCUUAAAAAUACACUCCAUCCCUAUAAAAAUACCCAUCUUCCCCUGGAUAUAGAAGGGAUAAAUAACAAGUAUCAGUGACAAAAGCAGCAGUUUUAUGCAUUCAUACAAUCAGAUCUAAACCUUUACAGCCGAUUACCUAGAAAACACACAAGAGUUACAAGACAAGUUUAGGAUACAUCUUGAAUCACACUGUAAGUGUUCAUGCAGAAGCUGAAGUUAAUGCAAUGAUCUAUCCUCUAUCACAGCAGCUCGUGCUUAUGUGCAAAUGCAAGACUGUUACACUCCAAACAAUAGUAAACAUUAAAACACAAGAAUACUUCACAAUGACAUAAACAGCAGUUACGUUGUUUGUUCCAGCAGUUAUUGCGCUAUUUUCUGGACAUCUCUCCAGUUAAAGGCUGCAGCAAGGUCUAAUACCAUCUUUUUAUGUUUGUUUUGUUUAGAAUGCAUAAUAAACGUUCUAGGCUUUGGUUCACAAUGAAAUCUCUGGAUGUUUUAAUUAAGGGCAAUGGUCACCUUGUGAUUCUGAUAGUGGCAGACUGAGGUAAUACAGCAAUCCUCUUAAAAUUAAUGAAAACAAAUUGGUAAGUGAGGCAUCUAUGGAUAUUCUGCAGGUGACCUGCAAAUGCAUUGACAUUCUGAUUUCAGAAAAAUAAGAAAGAUCUACAAGGGUGAUUUGUCUUUUACAGUGCCAUCCACUACAGAUUUUUCUGCUGAAAACACAAGCUGAAAUAAAACCUAUCUAAGGGUAAUACAUUUAGGCAUAGAAGAUAAAAGCCCUGUCUUUAUGAAAACAGAAAAAUCCCAAUAAAAACAACAAAGAGAGACAAACAGCAAUCGCUGCUUGUCACUACUGCACCAGUAUUAUAUACCCUUCAAAAGAUGGAGAUUUAUUAAAGCUAUACAAAAAAAAGCAGAGGCAGUGUUUUUUUUGUAGGUUUUUUUUUUUUUUUUGACAGGCCACUUCUUUAAAUAAUAGUUUCUAUAUUGUCUUCCAACUACCCGUAUCCUGUUGUAACAGGAUUACAACUCAUGGAACUAAAAAGCUAAAUAUAAUAAUAAAAAAUGGGUGGAUUCAUAUUUGCAGAGACCUCCAAGCAUAUAAUUUAAACAAAGAAACAGGUAAGACUCCAUGACUCCUCCUGUUUAACCUCAAACAUUGUACGCAACACAUUAGAGAACAUUAGUUUGAAAUAUAAACUAAAAUCCACAUACUUCUGAAGUAAUGUGUGAUGUUAAAAGGAGGUCUUACAAUACUGAUGCCAACAUUUUUAAAAUCCAGUAGGCACUAAAUUCAAUAUACUGCAGCACUCCCUAUGUAAUAUGGUAAAUUAAAAAAACAAAACCACACCAAAAUCAGAAUAAAACCAAGCAAAUAAACAAUAACAAAAAAAACAGCCCAAGAAACAAAACAAACCCUCAAGCCCCCAGAUCCCUGUCAACGUAAGUACCAGGAGUUGCAGCAG